RNAcentral lists this ribosomal RNA (460 nucleotides) under uncultured bacterium. RNAcentral describes it as "partial 16S ribosomal RNA". It matches the Rfam family "Bacterial small subunit ribosomal RNA", at positions 338 to 795 of the family's 1533-position model. The record is from RNAcentral.
CCUACGGGAGGCAGCAGUGAGGAAUAUUGGUCAAUGGACGCAAGUCUGAACCAGCCAUGCCGCGUGCAGGAAGACGGCUCUAUGAGUUGUAAACUGCUUUUGUACGAGGGUAAACGCAGAUACGCGUAUCUGUCUGAAAGUAUCGUACGAAUAAGGAUCGGCUAACUCCGUGCCAGCAGCCGCGGUAAUACGGAGGAUUCAAGCGUUAUCCGGAUUUAAUGGGUUUAAAGGGUGCGUAGGCGGUCGGAUAAGUUAGAGGUGAAAUCCCGAGGCUCAACUUCGGAAUUGCCUCUGAUACUGUUCGGCUAGAGAGUAGUUGCGGUAGGCGGAAUGUAUGGUGUAGCGGUGAAAUGCUUAGAGAUCAUACAGAACACCGAUUGCGAAGGCAGCUUACCAAGCUACUUCUGACGUUGAGGCACGAAAGCGUGGGGAGCAAACAGGAUUAGAUACCCCAGUAGUC